UUCGAUUCCGGCAGAGCACUCGCAGUGGCAGUCAUAUCCUCUCCCCACGUCCCACGAUGUGUGGCGCGCGCGACGCCGCGUGCCGGCGAGCGGCCAGCUGGCGAACCUUAUCCGCCGCCUCUUCCUCGGUCGCAGAUGCUGAGGCGGGCCAUGGCGCUGGCGCUGACCCUCGCCGCGGCGCACCGGCCGUGCGUGCUCCUCCGCCGCCGGCCGCGUGCCGCACGUGACGAGCGGCCACUCGAAGGGACGCCUCGUGGGGGUGGUGGGGCCCGCCUGCCACUCCGCCAGUUCCACUUCCGCUUCCAAGUCCACCACGUGCGGUCCCAUCGCCUGCCGCCGCCCCGACGCCGCCGGAGCCCCAAUGGCCGCCGCCGCCGCCGCCGGAGACCUCAGGUCGGAGUUCCGCGAGGUGCUCCUCAGCCGCCGCCGCGAACUCCAAGUCCCGGUGCCUACGACCGUGGAGAAAGGGAGCCCGGUGAAGGAGCCACUGUACCAAGGCAACGGGCCUCUGGGGGGCAGAGAGGCCAUGGAGUCGUGCCCGAGGAAGGAGGUGGAGAAUUUCGAGGAGAAGCUGGUUGAGGAAAAUUUCUACCUCAUGACCGAGUCGGGCGAACAGGGACGCCUACCUGUACUUCUACUGAAACUUAACGACGCUGCUCCUGAAAGAAAGCCCGUUGUUGUAAUACUGCACAGCUCUUACAAAUGCAAGGAAUGGUUGCGUCCUCUACUUGAGGCAUAUGCCUCCAGGGGUUAUAUUGCUGUCGCCAUCGAUUCUCGUUAUCACGGUGAAAGGGCCAGCAGCAAGACUACUUACAUAGAGGCACUCAAUUCAGCUUGGAGGAAUGGGGACACUAUGCCUUUUAUUUUUGACACGGUGUGGGACUUGAUAAAGCUUGGAGAUUAUCUUAGUGCAAGGGAGGAUGUCGAUCCCUCUAGGAUAGGGAUUACUGGUGAAUCACUCGUGGGUAUUAUAGAUCAUGAUUGCAUCAUGAUACUGAAUUAAUACAUAGACUUCACUUUUAGAAAAUUUAUCUUUUUUAUUUGGAGCUGAAUACAGGAAUGCAUGCAUGGUUUGCUGCUUUUGUGGAUACACGGUACAGUGUUGUUGUUCCAAUAAUUGGUGUUCAGGGAUUUCAAUGGGCAAUAGAUAAUGACAAGUGGCAAGCUAGAGUUGAUAGCAUUAAGCCUUUAUUUGAAGAAGCAAGAAUUGAUUCAGGGAAGAGUGAAAUAGAUGCAGAGGUUGUGAAAAAGGUUUGGGACAAGAUAGCACCUGGUAUGGCUUCACAGUUUGAUGCUCCCUACUCAGUUCCUCUGAUUGCACCACGUCCGCUCCUCCUCCUAAAUGGUGCUGACGACCCUCGUUGCCCAGUCCUUGGUCUACAAGAACCUGCCUCCAAAGCUGCUAAGGCUUAUGAAGAAGCUGGUUCUGCGGAGAAGUUCAAGUUCGUCGCGGAGCCGGGAGUUGGGCACAGGAUGACCGCGAGCAUGGUGAAGGAAGCGAGCGACUGGUUCGACCGCUUUCUCUAGUUCUCAGACGAUUAUCAUGGCCGCUCACCUUGUACCACCAUGCAUGCCUCCUGAAGUGCAUGUCCUCAAUAAAUUGCCCUCUGUUUGGAUUGCAUUCCUGCUGACCGAGACCGGAAUCAGUAAGCCUAGCCUCAUCAUCAUUACCAUUGGUACUACCUAAUCUCUAUGCUAGUGAGAUGUGGAACAAAAAUGUGUGCCUAUAUAUGUUUCGCCGCGGACACAACAUGUGUCGGUAACCGCAGAUUUAUCCUGUAUGUAUCAUCCUGUUUCUGAGACCGUAUUUUUCUAGCAAAUCUGUUUUUACC
Molecule: ribosomal RNA, 1832 nt
Filed under: Triticum aestivum (bread wheat)
Lineage: Eukaryota; Viridiplantae; Streptophyta; Magnoliopsida; Poales; Poaceae
Description: partial small subunit ribosomal RNA
Source: RNAcentral